UGGAAAUUUCAGUGUUUCAUGGACCU
RNAcentral lists this non-coding RNA (26 nucleotides) under Homo sapiens (human). The record is from RNAcentral. Lineage: Eukaryota; Metazoa; Chordata; Mammalia; Primates; Hominidae.